RNAcentral lists this ribosomal RNA (553 nucleotides) under uncultured archaeon. RNAcentral describes it as "bacterial SSU rRNA". It matches the Rfam family "Archaeal small subunit ribosomal RNA", at positions 325 to 879 of the family's 1478-position model. The record is from RNAcentral.
ACGGGGUGCAGCAGGCGCGAAAACUUCGCACUGCGCGAAAGCGCGACGAGGGAAUCCCAAGUGUAUGCACGUAAGUGUAUACUGUUUCUCUGUCUAAAAAGCAGAGAGAGUAAGAGCUGGGUAAGACGGGUGCCAGCCGCCGCGGUAAUACCUGCAGCUCGAGUGGUGAUCGUUAUUAUUGGGCCUAAAACGUCCGUAGCCGGUCUUCUAAAUGCCUGGGUAAAUCGUAUGGCUUAACCAUACGGAUUCCGGGUAGACUGUUAGACUUAAGACCGGGAGAAGCUAGAGGUACUCCUGGGGUAGAGGUGAAAUUCUGUAAUCCUAGGGGGACGACCAGUGGCGAAGGCGUCUAGCUAGAACGGGUCCGACGGUGAGGGACGAAGCCCUGGGGCGCAAACGGGAUUAGAUACCCCGGUAGUCCAGGGUGUAAACGCGGCUUGCUUGAUGUUAGUCUGGCUCCGAGCCAGAUUAGUGUCGGAGAGAAGUUGUUAAGCAAGCUGCCUGGGAAGUACGGCCGCAAGACUGAAACUUAAAGGAAUUGGCGGGGGAGCAC